GCCUUGGUAGACUCCAUAGUCGAGCCACUGUACAAAGAUAAGGACUGUUCUUUAAGUGUGCUGUAUAUAUUGGAGGCAUCUGCUUACACAGAUGACUACCAGAGUUACCUGUCAGACCUUUUAUUUCAUUACACUUGUGUCUGCUACUUAGCCAUUGGUCCCACAUGGAUAUUUCUUAGACUCAAUUCAUCAGCUAUUCUGGAGGCAAGCAGCUGAAUUUGGAAUAUACUCUCAACUUUGGCUUCUCUCUUCUCACCACUCACUCCAGGAUUCUGGAAGAGUGGAAGAAAUUUUAGGAGGUGAAGAAAAAUCCAGGACAUCAAUUCAAGGACUUCCAUGAGGUUUUACAGCAUAAUCACAAAUCCAUGGAAUGUUUGAGGCUGGAAAUCAUCGUGCUCUACUAUCUGCUGCUGAAGUAAAUUGAAGGACCCAGACAGCUUUUGAAUACACCCAGGGAUAGAGAUUCCACAACUUCUCAACAAAAAGGAGGUCUAAUGAGGCUGGAUCUGGAAUACUGUGUCCAGUUUUGGGCUCCUGAGACAGAAACAUGGGGUUCCUGGAGCUGGUCCAGUGAAGGGCAACCAAGAUGAUGAGGGGACUGGAGCAUCUCUCUUAGGAGGAAAGGCAGAGAGAGUUCAGCCCUCAAGGGAGUGUAUUGAGAGGAUGGGCCAGGCUCUGCUCGGUGGUGCCAAGCAAUAGGACAAGAGGCAAAAAGCAGAAACUGAUGCACAGGAAGCUCUACAUGAACACAAGGAAGAGCUUCUGUUCUGUGUGUGUGACUAUGAACUGGAACAGGUGACCCAGAGAGACUGUGGAAACUCCUUCAAUUGAGAUAUUCAAGGACCAUCUGGAUGCCACAGUGUGCACUUGGAAGAUCCUUCUUGAGCAGGGAUGCAAUUAGCCGACCAGAAAUCGCUUCCAACAUUAACCAUUCAGUGAUUGUGACACAGUCUGUUCAGCUCAAGAUUUCUGUGAAGCCCAAAUCUGACUUUAUUGCUUUAUGACUAGUUGUGUCAUUGAUUCCAAAGGGAAAAAAGUUAGCAAGGAAAGGAAAAUAUGGGAAAUAUUCCUGAGAUGCAGCUCUGUAUUAAACAGACUUAAUGAAGAUUAAACAGAGUUAAAGUGAGAAACACAUUCUUUUCUUUAAAUGAG
Molecule: long non-coding RNA, 1152 nt
Organism: Passer domesticus (house sparrow)
Lineage: Eukaryota; Metazoa; Chordata; Aves; Passeriformes; Passeridae
Exons: 6
Source: RefSeq, a predicted model, not a curated record